GGGGGGACUUCCGGUCACGAAGGCUGGGAUCCGCGGCCUGGAGCUGUGGGGCAGUAAAGUCCGCACCGCCAGGGCCACCGGGUACCUUGGGCUUGGUGACGGCGGUUGCUGCCCUUUAUUUCUCGGGUCACUACUGGACGUUACGCGGCAGCCAUUUCCUUCGUGUUGGCCUGAGGCCUCGGCCCCAGGGCAGCCAUGGGUUCCAGGUGGUGCUGAAAGCAGGAGCAGUGGGGCAUGGCUAUAGCCCUGCAAGUCCUGCGUCACUUCGCCCGGGCCCCCUCGCGCCCACUCCUCUGGGGGUGCCCAUUGACCCGGCUGGCCAGUGGCAUGGCCCUGGAAGAGCAGGCACGGCAAAUAUUUGAGAGCACCGUGGGUGCCAUGCUGCCAGGUCCCAUGCUGCAGCGGGCACUGUCCUUGGAUCCUGACAGUGGGCAGCUGAAAGUGCGGGACCGGAGCUUUCAGCUGCGGCAGAACCUCUACCUGGUGGGCUUUGGCAAGGCUGUGCUGGGCAUGGCAGCUGCAGCUGAGGAGCUACUAGGCCAGCAUCUCGUGCAGGGAGUGAUCAGCGUGCCCAGGGGGAUCCGUGCUGCCAUGGAGCAUGCUGGCAAACAAGAGAUGCUGCUGAAGCCCCACAGCCGUGUCCAGGUAUUCGAGGGUGCGGAGGACAACCUCCCGGACCGGGAUGCACUGCGGGCCGCGCUGGCCAUCCGACAGCUGGCCGAAGGCCUCACAGCUGAUGACCUGCUGCUUGUACUCAUCUCAGGUGGGGGAUCGGCCCUGCUGCCCGCCCCCAUCCCGCCUGUCACACUGGAGGAGAAGCAGAAACUAACCAAGCUGCUGGCAGCCCGUGGAGCCAACAUCCAGGAGCUGAACACCAUCCGGAAGGCCUUGUCCCAGCUCAAGGGUGGGGGGCUGGCUCAGGCUGCCUACCCUGCUCAGGUGGUGAGCCUGAUUCUGUCCGAUGUGGUGGGAGACCCUGUGGAGGUGAUUGCCAGCGGCCCCACUGUGGCCAGCGUCCACAGUGUGCAAGAUUGCCUGCACAUCCUCAAUCGUUAUGGCCUUCGUGCUGCUCUGCCACGUUCUGUGAAAACUGUGCUGGCUCGGGCUGACUCUGACCCCCAUGGACCACAUGCCUGUGGUCAUGUCCUCAAUGUGAUCAUUGGCUCCAAUGCACUGGCACUGGCUGAAGCUCAGAAGCAGGCUGAGGCACUGGGUUAUAAGGCUGUGGUGCUGAGCACAGCCAUACAGGGGUGGGGCACAUCUGCUGCACACGGGGCUGACGGGCACUGUCAUGGAUGCCCACCUCCUGUUCCUGCGGCCUCGGUGGCAUAG
This 1332-nucleotide long non-coding RNA is filed under the name Sus scrofa (pig). RNAcentral's name for it is "lncRNA (ENSSSCG00060027706.1)". Lineage: Eukaryota; Metazoa; Chordata; Mammalia; Artiodactyla; Suidae. The record is from RNAcentral.